This 171-nucleotide unclassified non-coding RNA is filed under the name plant metagenome. RNAcentral's name for it is "partial contains 5.8S ribosomal RNA, internal transcribed spacer 2, and large subunit ribosomal RNA". The record is from RNAcentral.
GAAGCGGUAGAAGUCGGCCGUCGUGAUCGGGUCGAACUUGUGGUCGUGGCACUCGGCGCAACCCAUCGUCUGCCCCAGCCACACCGUCGAGGCGUUGCGGACCCGGUCGGCCGCGUACUUGGCCGUGUACUCCUUCGGCUGGGCGCCCCCCUCCUCGGUCGUUUGGAGCAG